GGGGCCGUCAUGGUUUCGACGGGGGUUGCGAAGCCGAAGACGCGUGUCCGGGAACCGUGCUUGCCGGUCAAAACGGUACGGAAACUUUAGUUGCCAACGACGAGCCUCAGCUCGCUCUGGCUGCCUGAACUGGCUCGAUAGAGUUCAUUUAGGCCGUUCGAAGGGGUGACCCCGCCUGUGGUCCCUCUUCGGGCGAAAUCGAAACAGGCUGGCGGUCCACGUCGCCUCGCCGUGGGCCGCGAGAACCCAGAGGCUAGGAAGUGACAGGGUCUGUCCGCGAGCCCUGCGCCUCCGAAAUCAACUCGCGAGACUACGCACGUAGGGUCUUCCGUGGACCAACUUCCGGACGCGGGUUCGAUUCCCGCCGGCUCCAUCU
RNAcentral lists this transfer-messenger RNA (376 nucleotides) under Myxococcales bacterium LLY-WYZ-16_1. It matches the Rfam family "transfer-messenger RNA". From Rfam's summary of the family: Bacterial tmRNA, also known as 10Sa RNA or SsrA, is named for its dual tRNA and mRNA-like properties. Its role is to liberate the mRNA from a stalled ribosome. To accomplish this part of the tmRNA is used as a reading frame that ends in a translation stop signal. The record is from RNAcentral. Lineage: Bacteria; Pseudomonadati; Myxococcota; Myxococcia; Myxococcales.